GAUGAACGCUGGCGGCGUGCUUAACACAUGCAAGUCGAACGAUGAAGCCCAGCUUGCUGGGUGGAUUAGUGGCGAACGGGUGAGUAACACGUGAGUAACCUGCCCUUAACUCUGGGAUAAGCCUGGGAAACUGGGUCUAAUACCGGAUAGGAGCGUCCACCGCAUGGUGGGUGUUGGAAAGAUUUAUCGGUUUUGGAUGGACUCGCGGCCUAUCAGCUUGUUGGUGAGGUAAUGGCUCACCAAGGCGACGACGGGUAGCCGGCCUGAGAGGGUGACCGGCCACACUGGGACUGAGACACGGCCCAGACUCCUACGGGAGGCAGCAGUGGGGAAUAUUGCACAAUGGGCGAAAGCCUGAUGCAGCGACGCCGCGUGAGGGAUGACGGCCUUCGGGUUGUAAACCUCUUUCAGUAGGGAAGAAGCGAAAGUGACGGUACCUGCAGAAGAAGCACCGGCUAACUACGU
This 465-nucleotide ribosomal RNA is filed under the name uncultured bacterium. RNAcentral's name for it is "partial 16S ribosomal RNA". It matches the Rfam family "Bacterial small subunit ribosomal RNA", at positions 28 to 506 of the family's 1533-position model. The record is from RNAcentral.